UGUACAUGCAAACAGUAUAUAUAAUGUAUUUAUUACACUGUCUGUGUGGGUGGAGUUAUGAUGUCACAUCGUACAUCUUUGAAGAGAAUGUGUACAAACGUACACAGUCUUCGUUCAGACUCUAGUCUUGACAUUACGAGAGAUGAUAAGAAUUAUUAUAGUGUUUCAGUCACUGUACUGGAUUCAAGGAGUUGCAGGGGUGAAUGAUGUCUCUCAGCCCAGUAUACUCUGGGCUGAAAUGGGCCAAUCAGCCACAAUAAACUGCUCACACACCAAGGGUGCAUUUUACAAUCAAAUGUACUGGUUCCUUCAGUAUCAUGGAAAGAGUAUGGAGCUCAUAGUGUACACUACCAGCUUUGGCACUCUGGAAUUUGGAAACGUCAACCAAAGUAAAUUCUCAGCCAUUAAAACGGUUCCCGAGAGCGGCUCUUUAGAAGUGAAAGACGUGGAUUAUAAUGACAGAGCUGUGUAUUUCUGUGCUGUGAGAGAACACAGUGCUAUAACCACAGGGUAGAGCUGUACAAAAACACACCGUGUGUGUGUGUGUGUGUGUGUGUGUGUGUGUGUGUGUGUGUGUGUGUGUGUGUGUGUGUG
Non-coding RNA from Ictalurus furcatus (blue catfish), 594 nucleotides. The record is from the annotation of a RefSeq genome assembly. Lineage: Eukaryota; Metazoa; Chordata; Actinopteri; Siluriformes; Ictaluridae.